UUUGUUCUGUGAUAAUAUUAGUAAUUGGAGAAGGUAAUUAAUCAGUCAAAAGAAUCUAAGCUUCAAGAAAAGAACCCAGAAAACAAGUCAUUGAAGGAAGAGAAGGAAAUUAGGAAGAACCUGCAAUAUGAAGAGAGGGUAAGUUCAGAUAAGCUGCAACGUUAGAAAUGCUCUCCCGAUGAUCUGAAGACUUUGGAGAGGCUCUCUCACGGUCUCAACCCUUUAUUCAUUUGUGUCCGAGAAGAUUGCUUUGCCAUCGAUUAUUAAUCUGUUAACCCUCCAUUUUUUAGAACUCAUUUCCGCCAUUUGAGAAAGAUUAAACCAGGUAAGUACACACCUACAAUUAGCUUACUACUUAGGAAGCUUCAACCAUGAAAGAUUCUCAUCUCAUGAUCUUAAUCAAGACUUCACCAUUAACGACCAUUAACCACCAUUGCUCUAUUUCCAAUCCCAUGUAAGUAACGAACUCUGCAAUUAUCACCAUCCGUUAUUUGCUUCAAUUGGAAUUAGAAAUGGGCAAAAAAUAGUUGGUUAAUGUACUUGUGGUUUUCCCGCUCCAAUGAAGGAGAUUCACUACUCUUCCACCACCAUCCCUUCUCCCACUACUUCUAAGGUCCAGAGGACUCUAGGAUUCGCUCCAAUCUCUCUGAGAAUCGAGCUCUCAUUGGGGAAUCCAGUGCUAUUCCCGCCUUGAUUCCUCUCGACAAAGACAAAAAAACCCUGAUCACGGAUGCCGGAGCAAUAAAACCUCUCAUUUACGUUCUUAAAUCCCCGCACCAAGGCUUCGAAGCAGUCGAAGCAGAACGCUCCUGAACGGGUAUGGUGGUUUUGAGCAGCUUGGCCGCUAUUGUCGAAGAAGACGAAAUUACUGUUCUGAAGAAAGAAAAAAUUACAGCCCCUAAAAAGGGGAGGGGGAAGAAAGCAGAACUAUCUCAGAAGAAGUUACUAUUCUUGAUGAUGGAGCUAGGGGGCUCCAAAAAUUUACAAUAUGACAAUUUAUAGGGGAGGGAUUACAAGUGGAAGAAUUCCAAGAGAUUUUUGCUUUGACAUAAAAGAAGCUGGAUUGGCGAAAGGGAAGAAGUUCUCUGUUUUAACGCUUCUGCAACUCAAAUGCUCGGGCUUAGCUCAAGUGUCACUUGUAGGCUGAAACAUUACGUGUGUAUCUCAUAGAAUUAAGGCAAGAGGCAUCCUCUUCUAGCCCAUGAGAGGUAAUGAAAUUCACAAUCAGUACUGGGUUCCUGUCUUCUUGAAUUAUUGCAUAGCUUAGUGUUCUAAUUUUUUGUACACCAUGUAAACUAGAUUUUGAUUGUGUGAUUCACGGAAGCUAUGGGGAUUUGGGUUAUGAUCCUGGGUCUUGUCUGGGCAAUCCAAAUUUCUACUAAAACAGAAUUAGAGUUUUGAUCGAUCGAGGACUUAUGGGAGGGUAUGUUGCUGUAAUGAUCAAUCUUACAGAUGGUGUUCUAGUGGCAUACUGUAUUAGGGAAGUACUGAGUGAGAAAUAGAAGGGCUUGAGUUAUAUUUUUUAGUGACUGCAACUGUGCCUGUAAGAUGUGUUUGGGCUGUGAUGAAAUCAUGUAAAGAAUUAGUAACAGAGCAAUGAAACUUCUUGUGUCAUUUUUGUA
Macadamia integrifolia is the source of this 1622-nucleotide long non-coding RNA. RefSeq lists it as uncharacterized. Lineage: Eukaryota; Viridiplantae; Streptophyta; Magnoliopsida; Proteales; Proteaceae. The transcript has 3 exons. The record is from RefSeq and is a predicted model, not a curated record.